AUAGAAUAGAAUACAAAGAAAACAAUUGGAGUCUCUUCUGGAAUAUAUUAACCGCUCUUUCUUCUUUGAUUUUUUCAAAGUUCUCUUCCGAUAUCAUGGCAUUAAGAGGAAAUAUCGAUCAAGUAACACCUGACACACCGGAUUGGACAUGUAAAGUCCAAAUUGUGAGAAAAAAUUUGGAUUUCAGAAUCUGAUUUUUAGAAGAUGAAGAGUUGACGCUUUACAGGAACAACAAAUUAGAGGAGUCGUGUGGGGAGAUGACAUUCAAUAUUAUGCAGACAAGCUUAAGCUCUUCCACACAUAUCUCAUCUCCACUGCAAGAGUUAAAGUUUCAUCUACACAGUAUGGAAGACCCUUACAUAAAUUUUAUUGGGUGCUUGACAAAGAACAUUAGUUGAAGAAACAUAUACGAUUUUAUAUAAUAUACACACCUCAUUAUACUUCAUUUUUUUCAAAAAUAUUGAUAUACACACCUCAUUAUACUUAUUUUUUUUUUCAAAAAUAUUCUUUGAAAAAAACUUAUAUUAGCAGAUAUACUAGCAGUCGUUGUCCAUUGUGGCCUUCCAAAAUAUGCAGGUCGAGGUCCAAAUAGGUGUCGCGAGAUUAUUGUCACCGACAAUCAGAAAAAACGACUUCUUCUAACCUUAUGGGAGGACUUCUCAGAAGUUGAAGGAACCAAAAUCCAACAGAAAAUCGAGUCGAAAGUGAACUACGAUGAAAGAUAUCCAGUAAUCCUUGGGAGAAGUAUCGGAAUAUCUCCCUAUAACGGUUUAUCAUUGCAAACCAGAUUCAACUCAACAAUACAAAUUGAUCCUGCUUAUCCACAAGCAUUGGAGUUGAUCAAGUGGGCAAAAGCAAACAAAGACAUGCUCACAGGUUGUGCCAAGGUCAUCCACCUCUCUCAUGAUAAUUCCUACCCAACAACAAAUUAUUCCAAUUGCAGAAAUUCAGUCACAAACUUCUACUGGGAUUUUUUAUGUUGAGGCCGAAAUAUCAAUAUCAAGUGAGUUGCAAAAGUUCUGUGUGCUUGAAUGCUCGGGUUGCAAACAGAAGUUGCGAACUAAGGAAAGAAGAGAUUUUGACUGCACCAAGUGUAAACGACGGGCAACUUUAGUUCCUCGGUGUAUGUGCCAGAUUGAUCUUAUUGAUGGUAGCGGUUCAACAACUGCAAUGAUUUUCGGUGAUGUCACUGAAAAGAUGCUCUCAAUGACAGCAGAAGACAUAUUUGACACAACUUGUGUCAAGAGACAACUCUUGUCCAUUAACCAUGUCCUGGACAUAUUUUCAGACAGAAUCUUUCGAAUCCAAUUAAGAAAAUCAUCUUGGAAAAGUUCUGACUUUGUGCGUACAAGUCUAUCAGUUCUGUCCUACGUAGAAAAGGAACAUAUCUUUGCACCAAAAAUUAGCGAGAGAAGCCAAAAAAAAGGUAAAGCCUCUAAGUACAGAUGAGAGAGAAAUAGAAAUGAGAUAGAAAUAGAAAUGGAAGCAGCAGAUGUGAUCUCUAAAUAUUCAAGCGCAGGGCUGAAACUACAACCACCAACACCAUCAAAAAAAGUGUAAAGGAAGUAUUGGCCUUUUUUUGUGAUCUUUUGCUACUGUAAAAGAAAACCUUUUUUGGGGCUCUUACAUGAAUGGUUGAUCGCAGCC
This is a non-coding RNA of Nicotiana tabacum (common tobacco), 1647 nucleotides long. Lineage: Eukaryota; Viridiplantae; Streptophyta; Magnoliopsida; Solanales; Solanaceae. The record is from RefSeq and is a predicted model, not a curated record.